AGAGUAGAUUCUCCAUAAAAGGAAAACCCAUAUACCAUUUUGUUGGUACCUCAACAUUCAGUGAAUACACAGUUCUCCAUGCUGGAUGUGUUGCAAAGAUCAACCCUGCUGCCCCACUUGACAAAGUUUGUAUUCUCAGUUGUGGAAUAUGCACAGGUUUUGGUGCUACUGUCAAUGUUGCAAAACCAAAACCUGGUUCUUCUGUUGCCAUCUUUGGACUUGGAGCUGUUGGCCUUGCUGUAUGUUCCCCUUAUGCCUUUUGCUUUUGUGUGUGCAUAUGUUAUACUUAUACUUUUUACAGCAACUUAUAAAGGCUAAUAUUGACUUGAAAUUUAGGCUGCGGAAGGGGCAAGGAUUUCUGGUGCAUCAAGAAUCAUUGGGGUUGAUUUAGUUUCCAGCCGAUUUGAAGGAGGUAAAAUGUUUUCUUCUUCUUCCAUACAAAAUGCUUGAAGAUUCAGCUCAACAUAAAUGAAGUGGAUAUUCAAUUCUUGAUUGUAUUUCUGGUUUUAUUCUUGUUGGCAGCCAAGAAGUUUGGAGUCAAUGAGUUCGUGAACCCAAAAGAUCACGACAAACCUGUACAAGAGGUUAAUUCAUUGAAAAUUUCAUAUUAUGUUAUAUUUACGUUGACUUAAAGCUAUGCUUUUCCAACUUAUACUUUCACAUUCUGAUGCUAUGAAUUAAAAAUGUGAAUGCUGGUGUGCAGGUAAUUGCUGAAAUGACCAAUGGAGGUGUGGAUCGUGCUGUUGAAUGCACUGGCAGCAUCCAGGCCAUGAUCUCUGCAUUUGAAUGUGUCCAUGAUGUAUGCGAAAGCAGAACUCUUUUAUUCUAUGUUGCUGAAGAGUUCCUAUAAACCAAGGCCUAAUCUUGAUUGAUUUCUUCUUCUUUUUCACAGGGUUGGGGUGUUGCUGUACUUGUUGGAGUGCCAAACAAAGAUGAUGCAUUCAAAACUCAUCCUGUGAAUUUCUUGAAUGAGAGGACUCUUAAGGGCACCUUCUAUGGCAACUACAAACCCCGCACUGAUCUUCCUAAUGUUGUAGAGAUGUACAUGAGAGGGGUAAUUAAGCUUAUAAAAUGAUUUUCCUAAAGUCAUUCAAGUAGAACUAGUACAAUUUUGUUGCUAAGCAUCUUAUGGUGAUACUUUUGCAGGAACUUGAACUGGAGAAAUUCAUCACCCACACAGUUUCGUUCUCUGAGAUUAACAAAGCUUUUGAUUACAUGCUGAAAGGAGAGUCCAUCAGAUGCAUCAUCCGCAUGGAGGAGUAAAACCCAAAAACAAUGAUGUGUGAGUCCCUAUUUGGGGACUGAGUUCUCUUUCUGGUUGUGAAAGAAAAAAGGCAUAUAUAAAUAAUCCCUUAGGAGGAUUAUGAAAUUUGUGAUGUUUGAAUGUAUAGAAUGGCAGGGCCUUUGCUUCUGGGCUUGUCUAAUACAGAAUAAAUAAAAUGUGGCUUUUUUCAAUUUGCUGCUGUUCUAGUUAAUAAUUUAUUUUCAUCAUUCUAAAGUUAAAACGUUGUCUGAGGUUAAUAAUCUAAAGUUAAACGGAGAGCUUCGUUUUGACUAUUUGUAAGGUUAAUAAUCUAAGAACUGGUGCUGUCUUUGAUAUUUAGGAGUCUAGGAGCUUGUGUGAAAGUUUGUAAAUUGCAUUUGAAGAUGUUUAUAAGGGUGAAGUCUGGAUAGCUUUAUGCAACAAGAUGGGGAAUAUUUUAAGAUGCAAUUAGAUUAAAUGUAUACUUCAAUCAUCCAAGGAUUGGCACAGGAACAUUACAGUUCUAGUAUCUUUGUUUAGCAUAAACAUUGGUUCCACAGAUGAAUUCUCAAGUUAAAAGGGAUCAGUGCUUAUAAUGUUUAAAGUUGAAUUUGAAAACAACAUCAAUUAAUACAAAGACUAAAUGUAGCUAUAUGUUACCAGCUUUGAUGUUAAUUUGCUCCAUCUUUUGGUAGCAAAUAUGAGAAGAGAAUUUCGUUCCACAUAUCAGGAACACCAGGUAGACACCAAUGACUGCAAUCUGGCACAGAUGGCUUGUCACUCCAUGUACCCACAUGUCCAUCACUCCUAUAUGCUCCCAUGGGUGUAACAUGCAGAACUGUCACAGGAACAGUCAUUUUUUUUCACAACUCUGUUGAUCAUGUCUGAAAUUGGACUCUUGUCCCUGCCAUUUGUUCUCUUCCAAGGCCUUCGGGCCACCUUGCAAGCGUGGCGGUUCUGUCCACUGCCACAAAGAUAAGCAUAUUAAUAGCAUGUUUGACUAACUUCUCUUUCCACAGAAUCAAUUUUGAAAUCCAAAAGCUAUUCACAUAAGUUUCUCACUAGAAUUGAUUCUUAAUUGCAGAAAGAUUUCCAAACAUGCUAUAAGCCUUAACUCUUAUAGUUCACACUUUGCGCCUACCAUUAAGUUUGAUGGCCCUUGUGUUGCCAAGAGAAUAGAGAAAUAAACCCUUAAUUUGGUUAUGUUUAGUCAUUGUCUCAUCUAUAAACUUGCAAAACAAAUAGAUAAAAAUGGUGUUAAAACUUACCUCCAGUGAGAUGAUUCAAAGGUACGGAAGAAUACUCUUGUCCUGUUUGUGUUAAUUGUAUUCUCUACCCAAGAGGCCCAGGUGAGUAAAGCUGUGUUGAAAGCAGAAUUAAUUGGCAUUCCAAGCUUCAGUGAGUUACCAACCUGAAAGUACCAGCCCCUGGCUGAAGAGCAUGUUAGUAGCAAUAGUAGACAUUCUUCAAGAAAAGUUUAGGCUAGUCAUGUAGGGAAAACUAACACAUAUAUUAGUUAUACAUGAAUAUCCAAACAUUUUCACGUCUGGCUAACUCCGUGGAUGUUUGGAUACACGGUGCAAAAUCAACGUUAAGCCAAAAUCAUGGUGGAACGCCACAAAAACUAAGGACUCACAGUUUCUUCCACAAACAAAUACAAAUUCAUUACCAGCUCACUCAUCAAAUCAUUUUCUCAGUUCAUCUUAAUUUGUGAAAGCUAGCUAUGUCGAGCACAGAUGGUCAGGUCAUCAAAUGCAGAGGUCAGUGACACAAUCAUCAUCCACUCUAAUCUUUCCUUCUGUUCUGUUUUGAUCUAUCUAUCUAUCUGCUACCUGCUCUAUUUCUAGUUUACUUAUUUUACUUUAUAGGCAUUGAUUUUUCGGGUUUACACUAAAACUAACUAUUAUCAUCAUUCAUCAAUAUCUAAUCUUCUAACUAAUCUAAUUUCUGGAUGGGACAUAUUCUUCACACUUUUUAUGGCUAAUUAAACUCCAUUUAGCUUCAAAUGUUGAACAAAGUUUUGAUCUAUUUAGCUGAUUUUUCUUCUGUAUCCAGAAAAUUUUAAUUCCCUUUUUUCUGAUCCUUCUGAGUAAAUAAAGAAAAUUGUAAAUUCUGUUAGUUAACUGUUUCUGAUCCUUCUGUAUUGCUAAUGGAAUGAAUGAAUGUCCUGUUUUGAAAUGUACUAGCUGCGGUUUCAUGGGAGGCGGGGAAGCCGCUUGUGAUUGAAGAAGUGGAGGUGGCGCCACCGCAAGCCGGAGAAGUGCGUCUCAAGAUACUCUACACAUCCCUCUGCCACACUGAUGUUUACUUCUGGGAAGCUAAGGUAACAAACAACACACUUGCAUUACUCACUCAACAUUCUGUUUAUAUUUAGCUCAAGUUUAACAUAGAUCUUCAUUUUCCCAUUGUUUCAGGGUCAGACUCCAUUGUUUCCUCGUAUAUUUGGUCAUGAAGCUGGAGGGUAUGUUUCUCUUUUGAAUAUAACACUUGUGCACACAAUUAAUGAUUAUAAAUCCUUGCCUUUUUGAUAAAUUUGGUUCAUAUUUCUUAAGUUUAUAUGGUUUCAACAUGGAAUGCUUUUGGUUAAACCUUACUAAUAAUGUUGUUAUGAUGUUAUUCAGCAUUGUGGAGAGUGUAGGCGAAGGUGUUACUCAUCUGAAACCAGGGGACCAUGCUCUCCCAGUAUUCACAGGAGAAUGUGGUGAAUGCCCACAUUGCAAAUCAGAGGAGAGCAACAUGUGUGAUCUUCUUAGGAUCAACACUGAUAGGGGUGUCAUGAUCAGUGACAACCAGAGUAGAUUCUCCAUAAAAGGAAAACCCAUAUACCAUUUUGUUGGUACCUCAACAUUCAGUGAAUACACAGUUCUUCAUGCUGGAUGUGUUGCAAAGAUCAACCCUGCUGCCCCACUUGACAAAGUUUGUAUUCUCAGUUGUGGAAUAUGCACAGGUUUUGGUGCCACUGUCAAUGUUGCAAAACCAAAAC
RNAcentral lists this long non-coding RNA (4226 nucleotides) under Lotus japonicus. Its description in RNAcentral is "long non-coding RNA (LJAP_LNC001019)". The record is from RNAcentral. Lineage: Eukaryota; Viridiplantae; Streptophyta; Magnoliopsida; Fabales; Fabaceae.